Molecule: long non-coding RNA, 290 nt
Organism: Manacus vitellinus (golden-collared manakin)
Lineage: Eukaryota; Metazoa; Chordata; Aves; Passeriformes; Pipridae
Exons: 3
Source: RefSeq, a predicted model, not a curated record
AUAGGAACACAUGUAAACCAGUGAACGACCAAUGACAGCAAAUACCAACUGUAUUUCCUCUAAGAUACAGGUACUCUGAAUAGUAUUUAUCUUUUUACACCAUGAGUUACUGAGAGGAGGAACUGUGAUUUCAUACAAUUGUCUAAGGACCUAGUCUAAUGGAGACCAGAUUAUCAUCUCAAUACUUUGUGAUCUCUGGCAUUCCUCAGUAUCAGGCUUCCUUGACGGUUACAUGGGGCUCUCCACACUUCAACUCUCCACAGUUCAAACAGGAUCUUGCCAAUACACCC